RNAcentral lists this ribosomal RNA (962 nucleotides) under Lactiplantibacillus plantarum. RNAcentral's name for it is "bacterial SSU rRNA". It matches the Rfam family "Bacterial small subunit ribosomal RNA", at positions 494 to 1455 of the family's 1533-position model. Lineage: Bacteria; Bacillati; Bacillota; Bacilli; Lactobacillales; Lactobacillaceae. The record is from RNAcentral.
CGGCUAACUACGUGCCAGCAGCCGCGGUAAUACGUAGGUGGCAAGCGUUGUCCGGAUUUAUUGGGCGUAAAGCGAGCGCAGGCGGUUUUUUAAGUCUGAUGUGAAAGCCUUCGGCUCAACCGAAGAAGUGCAUCGGAAACUGGGAAACUUGAGUGCAGAAGAGGACAGUGGAACUCCAUGUGUAGCGGUGAAAUGCGUAGAUAUAUGGAAGAACACCAGUGGCGAAGGCGGCUGUCUGGUCUGUAACUGACGCUGAGGCUCGAAAGUAUGGGUAGCAAACAGGAUUAGAUACCCUGGUAGUCCAUACCGUAAACGAUGAAUGCUAAGUGUUGGAGGGUUUCCGCCCUUCAGUGCUGCAGCUAACGCAUUAAGCAUUCCGCCUGGGGAGUACGGCCGCAAGGCUGAAACUCAAAGGAAUUGACGGGGGCCCGCACAAGCGGUGGAGCAUGUGGUUUAAUUCGAAGCUACGCGAAGAACCUUACCAGGUCUUGACAUACUAUGCAAAUCUAAGAGAUUAGACGUUCCCUUCGGGGACAUGGAUACAGGUGGUGCAUGGUUGUCGUCAGCUCGUGUCGUGAGAUGUUGGGUUAAGUCCCGCAACGAGCGCAACCCUUAUUAUCAGUUGCCAGCAUUAAGUUGGGCACUCUGGUGAGACUGCCGGUGACAAACCGGAGGAAGGUGGGGAUGACGUCAAAUCAUCAUGCCCCUUAUGACCUGGGCUACACACGUGCUACAAUGGAUGGUACAACGAGUUGCGAACUCGCGAGAGUAAGCUAAUCUCUUAAAGCCAUUCUCAGUUCGGAUUGUAGGCUGCAACUCGCCUACAUGAAGUCGGAAUCGCUAGUAAUCGCGGAUCAGCAUGCCGCGGUGAAUACGUUCCCGGGCCUUGUACACACCGCCCGUCACACCAUGAGAGUUUGUAACACCCAAAGUCGGUGGGGUAACCUUUUAGGAACCAGCCG